AUGGCGAUUCCAACCAGUCCACCUAGCUUGGGUCUCUCUUCCUCUUCUUACAAAGAUAAUAUUCACUUUACAAGCUUCUCCAGCGACCAGCAGGAGGGACCUUGCCAGUCCACAGUCUUGGAGCAGUCUCUCCCCGUCACGUGUGCUGGAUCUAGCGAGUGGCUGCAGAGUGAUGGGACACCACUUCUGGGACCGGGGGAAAGCAGUGUGACUUCCGUCUUGCCGUUUGUUCCUCGCUUUCUCUCUGUCCAGCGUCCAAGCUGUGAGCUGGCCCGUGGAGAGGCCCCCAAGGCCAGGGGGAAGCCUUCUGCCAACCACUGUAUGUGUGAACUUGCAGAUGAUCCCUCGCCGGCAGAGCCUGGGGGGAGCGUGCACACUCUGCUGACACCUUGGUGGCCCCUCAUGAGGAAGUCCAAGCCCAGGACCCAAGUGAGCCAGGAUAGAGGCCUCAACACAGGAAAGGCGCUAAUAAAUGCCGCUGUUGUCAUCUUAAGUGCUAAAUUUGGGAUUAAUUUUUAUAUAGCAAUAGAUAAUAAAUAUACCUGUCUCUUGGCGGAAGCAUUCCUUUAGAGUAUGUAUAAACAGGAAGAUUUUCUGUGCAUUCAAGGAUGAUAAGUUUUUCCAGAAAUGGGCUGACAUACAAUUUCUAUCCAGAGCCCUUCUAUUGCACAAAUAAUCACUAGGAGAGAGUUGUCAAGAUUUCAUUCAUCACACAAAAUUUAUGAGCUAGAGGGUUUUUUUUCCUGGUUUUUGUUUUGUUUUGUUUUGUUGUUUCUUGAGACAAGGUCUCACUAUGCAAUUCAGACUGGACUUGAACUCACUGGAUAGUCCGGGCUGGCCUCAAACUCACCGCAAUCCUCCUGCCUCAGCUGCCACCCCCAGUACUGAGGUCACAGGCAUGCCUCAACACACCCAGCACGGACUAGAGUUUUUAAACGUCAUGGGUGCCAAGAAGCAUCGCUAAGAAACGUAACUCCUAUAUUGACAUCUAGUCACUAGCUGAAAUGUGCAGGAGCCGCUUGCAUUUCCUGGGACGUCUCCAUAUCCAGCCUUCUGCUUUAAUCUCUCCCGAGUCAGUUUGCCCUUGCUAAAUCACAUGUCCUGAAUUGCAGAUCUCUCUAACCCUGAACUGUUCCUGAACUUGGCUUGUGCUUCAGUGGGUGCCCUGUGUCAGCUCAUCCAUCCGCCCUUCUCUGAGUUCCUCUUAUAACCUCUGCGCUCUGUAUGACAGAAGCUGUCACACAUCAGGGGCUGAGCACACGGAUGCAAAUGACAGGCGGCUGCAAGAAACCAUCCGGGAGUUCCCCAAAGGGAGGAACCCUUGGGAGCCAAAGAAACCUGAAGAGACGCAGUGAAGGAAGAAGACCUGGGGUGGAGCCAAGAGAUGACUUUACUCUUGCUGGUCAGAGCAAGGGGGAAAUCUGUGCACAGUCGAGGACCGGGACUGAACAUACGUAGAUACACGGGUCACUGAGAAGCACGAAGUGGGACACAGUGAAAUGAGUCUCUGAUUAAGACAAGGGGACACAACGAGGUGUGCGCUGAAGACCAGCUGGACAAGAACAGCGCUGCUGGUUCAGUGGUGUGUACUGGACAACUGUAAGAUGAAUCACGUGCCACGCCUGUGGCUUGCCCAGCGUGGAGGCCAGCGCUUUGCCUCUAUCAUCUCACGUUCUAUAAACAAAGCUCCCAUCAUGUGCCCUUUGCAGACAAGGACCCUGAGCGGUCAGGGGGUUAAAAACUCACUGGAGGUUGUAAGCUGCUAUGGGCAGGGCCAGAGUCAAGUCUAGGUCUGGCUGGCACCAAAGCCCAACCCUCAACACUACCCUGACAAAAGACCCAGCAGACCCACACCCACCUCUACGUGUUGUGAGGGGGAUCUCAGGUAACUGCUCCAUAGCCGGUCACCUGAGGACUCCACCUGCUGGCUACUGCCACGGAUAAAUGCGCGGAGCGGGGGUGGCCAGCUUCCUGGCUCCUGGAACUCUCAAAAAGCCGUGGCACUCUCGCUCCUCUUCUGCUCCCCAAGGUCACUUUCACCUGUAGAAUCUGGGUGCCGUGUUUGCUUUGCACACCAAAGCCUUACCCCUAGCGACUACACCAUAACUCUACGAACACAAAGGUGGGCGGUGUUGACUUACAACAUCCUUUCCUGGAGCUCUGAGCUACUGAUCCUAAACCUACUGAAUACACCUUUGUUCCCCUUGAGCCUGGCAACCGAUACCAGAGGCAGAUUGCCUAUUGCUUAAUACACUGCUGCUGGCUUUAGGCACAAGUGCAAAGCCUCAAGGGAAAUGGGAAGCUCUGACUUAUUUUGAAGGAAGAUAAAUUACAAAAGAUGUACACACAUUUACAAAGCUGAAGGGAGGUUUGUAUUUAUUACUCCUAAUUCAAUUCCUAAAUUUUACGUGAUAAUGUUCAAGACAUUUGUAUAAUAAGAAAAUAUCCCUCAGUCUUUCCAGAGACUGACAAUCUUUUAUUUCAAGGAAAAUAAAGUAUGUCCACAGCUUGUGUGCAAUAUUUUAAUUGACAGGACACAUUUUCGCACAGCGUGAUUAUUUAUGUUUGUUUGUUUUUCCCUAAUUGGCUCACCUAACGCAGCUUCACAUAAACCUUUAAGAGAUACCCCCAGUACUGCACUGUCGUGUGUAACCCAUUUUUACGGCAGAAUAAAUAGCUUUCCUCCAU
Molecule: long non-coding RNA, 2688 nt
Filed under: Chinchilla lanigera (long-tailed chinchilla)
Lineage: Eukaryota; Metazoa; Chordata; Mammalia; Rodentia; Chinchillidae
Description: lncRNA (ENSCLAG00000025104.1)
Source: RNAcentral